Molecule: long non-coding RNA, 892 nt
Filed under: Gossypium barbadense (sea-island cotton)
Lineage: Eukaryota; Viridiplantae; Streptophyta; Magnoliopsida; Malvales; Malvaceae
Description: long non-coding RNA (GBAR_LNC021994)
Source: RNAcentral
CAACUCUUCCGUUAAGUCCAAUAAAAAGAGGAAGACCAAAGAAAGCAAUAAUCUUAUUGGGAUGGUAGGAAAUAUUGUACCGCCCAAAUUUACCCGGCCCAUACCAGCAGACCCAAAAUUAAAUAAAUCCAAAUAUAACCCAAACCCCAAUUACAUGCCAAAGCCCAAUGGCCCAAAAAAUCUAAAACUAUCAGAAAACUCUAAUCCCCCUAACCCUAGAUGCGCCGCACCUAGGGUCGCCCACUUGCCCUCUGCCAGUCGCCAUCGUCGCUCGUUCGCCGCCGGACGUCCCAUCCGUGUCCAUCACCGCCCAUCCACUUGCGACGCCAGCCACCUGCAAACACGCAGUAGCAAAAUAAAAAGAAACAAAUAGGAAAAUAGGAACAAGGGGGAUUUCGACUAUAUAAGCCGAAUAUGAACUGUAACGGGGGCUCUCUCUUUUUUUUUCUUUUUUUUCGAUUCUUGUAACAAAAAUAGAUAUUAGCAGAAAGAAAAAUAACAAAAACAGAUUCGAGGUGAUUUGUUUGCUCUUCCAUUCGAUUUUGUAAAUUUGUUUCUUCUAUUCUAUUUUAUUUUCAUUCACGCAUACACAUAUAUAUAAAUAAAGGCAGUAAAUAAAAGAAAAAGAGGGUACAUUUCUUACAAAAGUCGCGCCGGAGGAGGGGGAAGCCGAGUGGUUUAGCCCCCAUUUUUACGUCUUUGGUCCGUUUUUCGUGAGUUUUGGCCCUAGAUCCACGGCCUGGAAGCAACCGGCCUAAGAGAGAAACCAAAGAGGUUCAGUUUUGCACCUCCGGUCGCCGCCCACGGCGGUGCUACGGCGGAUGUACACCGGCGAUUUAGGCCAGACCAUGGCCGGAUUUAAGAAAGGGGGAAAGAGCUUUCUCAGUUUUUU